RNAcentral lists this ribosomal RNA (691 nucleotides) under uncultured bacterium. Its description in RNAcentral is "bacterial SSU rRNA". It matches the Rfam family "Bacterial small subunit ribosomal RNA", at positions 45 to 731 of the family's 1533-position model. The record is from RNAcentral.
GGCCUAACACAUGCAAGUCGAGCGGAUGAGAGGAGCUUGCUCCUUGAUUCAGCGGCGGACGGGUGAGUAAUGCCUAGGAAUCUGCCUGUUAGUGGGGGAUAACGUUCCGAAAGGAACGCUAAUACCGCAUACGUCCUACGGGAGAAAGUGGGGGAUCUUCGGACCUCACGCUAACAGAUGAGCCUAGGUCGGAUUAGCUAGUAGGUGAGGUAAUGGCUCACCUAGGCGACGAUCCGUAGCUGGUCUGAGAGGAUGAUCAGCCACACUGGAACUGAGACACGGUCCAGACUCCUACGGGAGGCAGCAGUGGGGAAUAUUGGACAAUGGGCGAAAGCCUGAUCCAGCCAUGCCGCGUGUGUGAAGAAGGUCUUCGGAUUGUAAAGCACUUUAAGUUGGGAGGAAGGGCUCUUGGCUAAUACCCAGGAGUUUUGACGUUACCGACAGAAUAAGCACCGGCUAACUCUGUGCCAGCAGCCGCGGUAAUACAGAGGGUGCAAGCGUUAAUCGGAAUUACUGGGCGUAAAGCGCGCGUAGGUGGUUUGUUAAGUUGGAUGUGAAAGCCCCGGGCUCAACCUGGGAAUUGCAUCCAAAACUGGCAGACUAGAGUACGGUAGAGGGUGGUGGAAUUUCCUGUGUAGCGGUGAAAUGCGUAGAUAUAGGAAGGAACACCAGUGGCGAAGGCGACCACCUG